AUUGAACGCUGGCGGCAGGCUUAACACAUGCAAGUCGAGCGAGCGGCGGACGGGUGAGUAAUGUCUGGGAAACUGCCUGAUGGAGGGGGAUAACUACUGGAAACGGUAGCUAAUACCGCAUACCAUCAGAUGUGCCCAGAUGGGAUUAGAUAGUAGGUGGGGUAAUGGCUCACCUAGGCGACGAUCCCUAGCUGGUCUGAGAGGGUGGCCGGCCACAGGGGAACUGAGACCCGGUCCAGAGUCCUACGGGAGGCAGGAGUGGGGAAUAUUGGACAAUGGGCGCAAGGCGGAUGCCGCCAUGACGCGUGUGUGAAGGAGGCCUUCGGGUUGUAAAGGACUUUCAGCGAGGAGGCGUUACUCGCAGAAGAAGCACCGGCUAACUCCGUGCCAGCAGCCGCGGUAAUAC
RNAcentral lists this ribosomal RNA (406 nucleotides) under uncultured bacterium. RNAcentral describes it as "partial 16S ribosomal RNA". It matches the Rfam family "Bacterial small subunit ribosomal RNA", at positions 29 to 526 of the family's 1533-position model. The record is from RNAcentral.